CUGAUAGAUAGGCAUGCGUUCCAUUAGGCAGUUGGCGGGGUAACGGCCCACCAAACCGACGAUGGAUAGGGGUUCUGAGAGGAAGGUCCCCCACAUUGGUACUGAGACACGGACCAAACUCCUACGGGAGGCAGCAGUGAGGAAUAUUGGUCAAUGGGCGCGAGCCUGAACCAGCCAAGUCGCGUGAGGGAUGAAGGUUCUAUGGAUCGUAAACCUCUUUUAUAAGGGAAUAAAGUGUGGGACGUGUCCUAUUUUGUAUGUACCUUAUGAAUAAGGAUCGGCUAACUCCGUGCCAGCAGCCGCGGUAAUACGGAGGAUCCGAGCGUUAUCCGGAUUUAUUGGGUUUAAAGGGUGCGUAGGCGGCCUUUUAAGUCAGCGGUGAAAGUCUGUGGCUCAACCAUAGAAUUGCCGUUGAAACUGGGGGGCUUGAGUAUGUUUGAGGCAGGCGGAAUGCGUGGUGUAGCGGUGAAGUGCUUAGAUAUCACGCAGAACCCCGAUUGCGAAGGCAGCCUGCCAAGCCAUGACUGACGCUGAUGCACGAAAGCGUGGGGAUCAAACAGGAUUAGAUACCCUGGUAGUCCACGCAG
Molecule: ribosomal RNA, 587 nt
Filed under: uncultured bacterium
Lineage: Bacteria
Description: bacterial SSU rRNA
Rfam family: Bacterial small subunit ribosomal RNA
Source: RNAcentral